GAACUUCUUGGCAUGCUGGAUUUAUCCAGCAAGAAAAAGAAAUAGAGGGAAGACAUUGGCUGAUGAUCUCUCGCUUGUAGACUUAGUUGCUUAAUUGCCAAUGAGGGAGAGAUGCUGCUUGCAGGGAAAAUGAUGGAAAUUAGUUGAGGUUGAGGGGAAAAGAAGAUGGAACAGAAAUAGAAGACUUGAAGAGGACUCCUUGGAGAAGUUCACAUGACAUUCUGUUUGACAUAAAAUCAGCAUGUGUCCCAAGUAAAUCAACAACAGCUGUUUUAAAUAGCAGAUUGUAUUUCAAAAUAUCAUUAUGAACCAGGGGAAGAAUUGCAUGGAUGCCUGUGUCUCCAGAUUACAGUGAUGGAACCUAGCAUCUGGACAUUAUGGCCCUGGGCAGACAGAUCUCAGAGUUGGCUGGAAGAUGGUUGUCUAUUUAAUGAAACAGUGAUCUUUAGGGGGAAAUUUUUUUCAUGAUUCAUGGGUUAAAAAUGCCAGCAAAAAAGAAUGAAAGGAAAAAAGGCUCGGUUACAUUCAGAGGAGUCAUGCUUCUGUUGGCUAAAGCUUCUACUCAGAAUCCUGUGCAUUUCUCUAAAUGGGGUAGCAAAGCAGUUUAAUACUAGUCUGUUCACUUCAAAAGUACUCAUACCAAUAAACUAAGUAAGAUUCAGUACCCAUCCCCACAAGAGUUCUUAGAUAACAUGAUGGACUAACUGUAUUACACUGUGUCACUAAGAAAGUGUAGAUUCUGUGACCUACAGGUUGUUCCAGGCACAGGAUGGACCUGGCUGCACUUUUCAGUCUCUCUUGUUGUCCCCCACUGGUUAAAAUUCCUUCGGCAAUGCCAGCAGCACUUCUCCCUGCUCUGAUUUUAGGCCUCAGAGGAGAAUUUAGGCAUUUCCCCUUCACGUCCUAAUAAAUGCUUCUUUGAACAACCUGCUUCCAUGAUGCUGCCAAGUGAGCCUUUCCUGUUGGCACAACCCCACUGAGUUGCAGGGCAACAGCUUCAUCCUGUGGUGGCACAUGCAAAUUUCAGAAUCUCCAUAGCCGGACCAGUGUGCCUGACCCAGGUGGGCACCCAUUUCCUGGAGAGUCUCCUGUCUUAUUUGCAGGCUUGCUGAAGGGUCCAUCAUUACAUUGCAUGACUGAAAGUGCAACUGUCAUGACUCCUGGCUCUCUGCAGGCCUUGUCCAUUGUGCACAAUAUUAUGAGUCCUGUGGUCAGCCUUAGUACCUCAGGGAACUGCUGGACUUGAUCUCAUGCUCUAGAUUCACUAUGGCCUCACCAUGCUGUCUUUAGAUUGACAACUCUAGCAGGCUAGCCUGCUCACAUAUCCAGUCUCUAGGCCCAGGUGCUACCUUCUGUACCUAUACUUCUAGCCUGCAGAGCAACCCCUCCAUAAGCCUCUAAUACCCAGCCA
Molecule: long non-coding RNA, 1411 nt
Filed under: Pan troglodytes (chimpanzee)
Lineage: Eukaryota; Metazoa; Chordata; Mammalia; Primates; Hominidae
Description: long non-coding RNA NONPTRT013685
Source: RNAcentral